Molecule: ribosomal RNA, 820 nt
Filed under: uncultured marine bacterium
Lineage: Bacteria
Description: bacterial SSU rRNA
Rfam family: Bacterial small subunit ribosomal RNA
Source: RNAcentral
UGCAAGUCGGACGAAGUAGCAAUACUUAGUGGCAGACGGGUGAGUAACAUGUAGGUAUCUACCCUUUGGCCUGGAAUAACACGAGGAAACUUGUGCUAAUACCGGAUAAGUCUUUACAGAGAAAGCUUUAUGCACCAUUGGAUGAGCCUGCACUUGAUUAGUUUGUUGGUGGGGUAAUGGCCUACCAAGACUUUGAUCAAUAGCUGAUUUGAGAGGAUGAUCAGCCACAUUGGGACUGAGACACGGCCCAAACUCCUACGGGAGGCAGCAGUAGGGAAUCUUGCACAAUGGAGGAAACUCUGAUGCAGCGAUGCCGCGUGAGUGAAGAAGGCCUUUGGGUUGUAAAGCUCUUUCGUCGGGGAAGAAAAUGACUGUACCCGAAUAAGAAGGUCCGGCUAACUUCGUGCCAGCAGCCGCGGUAAUACGAAGGGACCUAGCGUAGUUCGGAAUUACUGGGCUUAAAGAGUUCGUAGGUGGUUGAAAAAGUUGGUGGUGAAAUCCCAGAGCUUAACUCUGGAACUGCCAUCAAAACUUUUCAGCUAGAGUUUGAUAGAGGAAAGCAGAAUUUCUAGCGUAGAGGUGAAAUUCGUAGAUAUUAGAAAGAAUACCAAUUGCGAAGGCAGCUUUCUGGAUCAUUACUGACACUGAGGAACGAAAGCAUGGGUAGCGAAGAGGAUUAGAUACCCUCGUAGUCCAUGCCGUAAACGAUGUGUGUUAGACGUUGGAAAUUUAUUUUCAGUGUCGCAGCGAAAGCAAUAAACACACCGCCUGGGGAGUACGACCGCAAGGUUAAAACUCAAAUGAAUUGACGGGGACCCGC